This 549-nucleotide ribosomal RNA is filed under the name uncultured bacterium. Its description in RNAcentral is "bacterial SSU rRNA". It matches the Rfam family "Bacterial small subunit ribosomal RNA", at positions 777 to 1329 of the family's 1533-position model. The record is from RNAcentral.
AAUAGAUACCCGGGUAGUCCACGCCCUAAACGAUGCUCACUAGGUGUUGGGGAAGCGAUUCCUUGGUACCGUAGCUAACGCGUGAAAUGAGCCGCCUGGGGAGUACGGCCGCAAGGUUAAAACUCAAAGGAAUUGACGGGGACCCGCACAAGCGGUGGAUGAUGUGGAUUAAUUCGAUGCAACGCGAACAACCUUACCUACCCUUGACAUGUCCGGAAGCCUGCUGAAAGGCGGGGUGCUCGAAAGAGAACCGGAACACAGGUGCUGCAUGGCUGUCGUCAGCUCGUGUCGUGAGAUGUUGGGUUAAGUCCCGCAACGAGCGCAACCCUUGUCCCUAGUUGCUACGCAAGGGUCACGUCUAGGGAGACUGCCGGUGACAAACCGGAGGAAGGUGGGGAUGACGUCAAGUCCUCAUGGCCCUUAUGGGUAGGGCUUCACACGUCAUACAAUGGACGGUACAGAGGGUUGCCAACCCGGCGAGGGGGAGCCAAUCCCAGAAAGCCGUUCGUAGUCCGGAUCGCAGUCUGCAACUCGACUGCGUGAAGUCGG